AGAGCGCUCGCGUUGGGACCCGAAAGAUGGUGAACUAGGCCCGAGCGGGACGAAGCCGGGAGAAAUGCUGGUGGAGGUCCUAAGUGGUUCUGACGCGCAAAUCGAUCACGGAACUUGGGCGUAGGGGCGAAAGACUAAUCGAACCAUCUAGUAGCUGGUUCCCUCCGAAGUUUCCCCCAGGAUAGCUGGCGCUCGCCGAGACAGUUUCGUCCGGUAAAGCGAAUGAUUAGAGGAGUCCGUGCCGAAAUGGCGUGGAGCUAUUGUCAAACUUUGAACGGGCGAGAAGGGGUGCCUACCGCUCGAUCUGGGAGGCUCGGCCCCCGUCGAAAUGUACGAGUGCCAAGUGGGCCACUUUUGGUAAGCAGAACUGGCGCUGUGGGAUGAACCAAACGCCGGGUUAAGGCGCCCGAUCGUCACGCUCAGCAGAACCCACAAAAGGCGUCCAUCGGUAAAGACAGCAGGACGGUGACCAUGGAAGUCGGUAUCCGCCAAGGAGUGUGUAACAACUCACCUGCCGAAUUGGUGGGCCCUGAAAAUGGAUGGCGCUGUAGCGUGCAGCCUACACCCGGCCGUCUCGGCAAUUUUCUCCGGCCUGCCGGUAGAGACUGACCGAAGCCGAGACGAGUAGGAGGGUCGCCGCGGUCAGCGCUGAAGCCUUAGACGCGAGUCUGGGUGUAGCGGCCGCGGGUGCCGAUCUUGGUGGUAGUAGCANAUAUUCGAGCGAGAACCUCGAAGGCCGAAGUGGAGAAGGGUUCCGCGUUGCUCCUUCGAUCGGCCGCGGGUUAGU
Molecule: non-coding RNA, 787 nt
Filed under: Lottia gigantea (owl limpet)
Lineage: Eukaryota; Metazoa; Mollusca; Gastropoda; Lottiidae
Description: Eukaryotic large subunit ribosomal RNA
Rfam family: Eukaryotic large subunit ribosomal RNA
Source: Rfam by way of RNAcentral